Molecule: long non-coding RNA, 640 nt
Organism: Canis lupus familiaris (dog)
Lineage: Eukaryota; Metazoa; Chordata; Mammalia; Carnivora; Canidae
Exons: 5
Source: RefSeq, a predicted model, not a curated record
CCAUGAUGUUUCCCUUUUUGAGAGAGAGAAUUUUCCACGUGGGUUGAAAAUAAGAUUAGCAUUCCAGUUUGUUAUGGUUUUCAAAUGCAUUUGCUAAUUGAAUUCUCUGCCCAACACCUGAGAGAGACGUGGUACCCAUUUUACAGAAGAAGAAAUCAAGGUACUGAGAGAUGAAGUUAUUUAUCAAGUGUCAUGGACUUAACAAGAAGUUACUCUGUAUGGCGCACAUUUAGGAAGCAGGAAUUAGGUUCCAUCUCCUUGAGGAACUUGAGUGGAUUGUCACGGUGACAGAGGUGACAUUUUAACUUCAGAGGUUUGGACAUAAAAGGAGGUGAUCAAGUAAGCACUGGCUCUGCACUGGGCGAAGGUCCACGAUGCUGACCUGGUGAUGGACGGAAGUUUCUACAUCAGUUCCAACUGCUCUGGUUUGCAAUGUAAAUGGACACCAAGACAACCAAGGGGCAGCCUUGCAGCAGAUCAAGAUCACCCUGCCCUGGUCACAGCAGCCCUUUUCCAUGCCAUGGCAGAUAAAAUCCAUGUCGCACCCAAGUAGGUCAAGGAAGAAAGGACAGAAAGAGAGAAGCAAGGGAAGGGUACAGGGGGCAACAGAGGGAUAAAAAGAGAGGGAAAUAAAUGUGUU